Molecule: unclassified non-coding RNA, 223 nt
Filed under: Hevea brasiliensis (rubber tree)
Lineage: Eukaryota; Viridiplantae; Streptophyta; Magnoliopsida; Malpighiales; Euphorbiaceae
Source: RNAcentral
CAAUUCCUUUAUAACUUAAAAGUAAAAAAAAAAUAAAAAUAAAAAAAGGUUGAUUUUGCAGUAAAAGAUCACAACCAAUCACUACUGAGGUUUCUUUUGUUUAUGCUUCUUAACUGAUCUACUCAAUUAAUUAAGAAUAAUUCUGUUCUUGUACUAUUUUUUGCACCAAUCUGCCAUACUACUAUAUUUUCACAGUGAAAGGAAAGAAUGAUGAAGAGCUCAC